Molecule: long non-coding RNA, 401 nt
Filed under: Brassica rapa (field mustard)
Lineage: Eukaryota; Viridiplantae; Streptophyta; Magnoliopsida; Brassicales; Brassicaceae
Description: long non-coding RNA (BRAP_LNC007613)
Source: RNAcentral
UAGUUAAUUAUUUUAGACCGAUGUGUACAUGCGGUGUGAUGAAAACAAAGUACUAUUCACAUUUAUAGAUAAUACUUUAUUUAAGACAAACACAAGUAUACAUGAGGUAGGUGAUUUCUCUUUGUCAACAUAUAUUUCAUUUCAUAAUGCCCAAUGGGCUACGUACAGAGGAAUUAAAGUCUACAAGGCCCAUUUAAAAUAAAACAUGUUUGGUAAGCAAAUGACAAAUCAAUUGAAACUUGCAUGUAUCCAUCUGUCUUCCACCGAAGAAUGUCAGGGCCACAUGGCAGCAAACUUGAAGGGUUUCUAGCAUCUUCCACCGACCUCUCGAUUCUCCACCGCCGUUGGUGUAUUCUCCACCACUAAUCCACUAUCUUCACCAUUUCAAUCGCCACCAUUCA